Molecule: long non-coding RNA, 555 nt
Organism: Neofelis nebulosa (Clouded leopard)
Lineage: Eukaryota; Metazoa; Chordata; Mammalia; Carnivora; Felidae
Exons: 4
Source: RefSeq, a predicted model, not a curated record
GGAGGGAGGCAGGAGGGAGCUAAUGAUGGAAAGAACCUCUGACAUCAAGCCCUCUUCCCUUCAGAGACUCUGCAAGUCCCUCUCUCAUCCAGCAGCCCACUUCAUCCUCUAAGGACCCUGCCACGUCUGUGUGGAAGGCCAGUGCACUUGUCCGUCUGGGGUGGGGACCUUUGUCGGGGAUCUGCCCCUGCCUGCAUGUACCACCCACCCAGCCACGCUCCCCUCCCCCCGCCCUCCGUCCAAUCUCAGGAAGUUCCACCUGACCACCCACCCAGUUGCCCAGGGACCAUUAAUUUUUCUAUGGACGAUCAAACCCAGAUAGAGUGGAAGGGCUACCGCACGGCUGAUCCCGAAACAGUAACCAAGGCGCCAGGGACAACAUCUGGGGGUCGACCAGGACAGGCAGUGGACACAACCGUGUUGGCCUUACGUGUACUGGGAAAGUUUUCUCCGGUGUAUGUCCCCGAGGGGCAAAGGGGUAGAAAUCCUCCGCAUGGCAAACUGGCACAAUGCAAGAAAAACCGGUCACAUGUAGAACCCUAUCCUAAGGAAGGC